CAAAUUCACAUGAUUACUUAUAAUAACACUUAUCCCAUGUCCUUAGGAACAAACAUAACUACUUACAAAGCAUAUUCAUGUUCAUAAUCAUUGGAGUAACAAUAAUCAUUAAGGAUAUGAACAUAUAAUCUCCCACCAAAUAAACCAACUAGCAUCAACUACAAGGAGUAAUCAUCACUACUAGCAACCCAUAGGUACCAAUGUGAGGUUUUGAGACAAAGAUCAGAUACAAGAGAUGAACUAAGGUUUGGAGAGGAGAUGGUGCUGAUGAAGAUGCUGAUGGAGAUUGACCUCCUCUCGAUGAGAGGAUCAUUGGUGAUGAC
This 323-nucleotide long non-coding RNA is filed under the name Hordeum vulgare. Its description in RNAcentral is "long non-coding RNA (HVUL_LNC007407)". Lineage: Eukaryota; Viridiplantae; Streptophyta; Magnoliopsida; Poales; Poaceae. The record is from RNAcentral.